GACGAACGCUGGCGGCGUGCUUAACACAUGCAAGUCGAGCGGACGGAGGGCUUUGGCCCGAAGUUAGCGGCGGACGGGUGAGUAACGCGUGAACAAUCUGUCCCAGACAGGGGGAUAACAACCUGAAAAGGUUGCUAAUACCGCAUAAGACCACGGCCUCGCAUGGGGCUGAGGUAAAAGAUUUAUCGGUUUGGGGUGAGUUCGCGUCUGAUUAGCUAGUUGGUGAGGUAACGGCCCACCAAGGCGACGAUCAGUAGCCGAUCUGAGAGGGUGAUCGGCCACAUUGGGACUGAGACACGGCCCAG
This 305-nucleotide ribosomal RNA is filed under the name uncultured bacterium. Its description in RNAcentral is "bacterial SSU rRNA". It matches the Rfam family "Bacterial small subunit ribosomal RNA", at positions 28 to 334 of the family's 1533-position model. The record is from RNAcentral.